Molecule: ribosomal RNA, 298 nt
Filed under: uncultured bacterium
Lineage: Bacteria
Description: partial 16S ribosomal RNA
Rfam family: Bacterial small subunit ribosomal RNA
Source: RNAcentral
GACGAACGCUGGCGGCGUGGAUUAGGCAUGCAAGUCGAGCGACGGGACCUUCGGGUUACGGAGCGGCGAACGGGUGAGUAACACGUGAACAAUCUACCCUCUCAUUCUGGAUAAUUGGCCGAAAGGCCUUGUAAUACAGGGGAGGUUCUUAUUUGGGCAUCCUUAUGAGAACGAACAGGUAACUGGUGCGAGGAGGAGUUCGCGGAUUAUCAGGUAGUUGGUGGGGUAAUGGCCUACCAAGCCACGACGAUUAGCUGGUCUGAGAGGAUGGUCAGCCACAUUGGAACUGAGAUACUGU